GCUCUACUAGUUUAAUGGUUAUAAUUUUAGACUAUAAAUCUAGAGGUUUUGGGUUUGAAUCCUAGCUAGAGCA
RNAcentral lists this transfer RNA (73 nucleotides) under Opeltia flavorubescens. Its description in RNAcentral is "tRNA-Tyr (ATA) (tRNA-Tyr-ATA-5-1)". It matches the Rfam family "tRNA". From Rfam's summary of the family: Transfer RNA (tRNA) molecules are approximately 80 nucleotides in length. Their secondary structure includes four short double-helical elements and three loops (D, anti-codon, and T loops). Further hydrogen bonds mediate the characteristic L-shaped molecular structure. tRNAs have two regions of fundamental functional importance: the anti-codon, which is responsible for specific mRNA codon recognition, and the 3' end, to which the tRNAs corresponding amino acid is attached (by aminoacyl-tRNA synthetases). tRNAs cope with the degeneracy of the genetic code in two manners: having more than one tRNA (with a specific anti-codon) for a particular amino acid; and 'wobble' base-pairing, i.e. permitting non-standard base-pairing at the 3rd anti-codon position. Lineage: Eukaryota; Fungi; Ascomycota; Lecanoromycetes; Teloschistales; Teloschistaceae. The record is from RNAcentral.